RNAcentral lists this ribosomal RNA (435 nucleotides) under uncultured bacterium. RNAcentral describes it as "partial 16S ribosomal RNA". It matches the Rfam family "Bacterial small subunit ribosomal RNA", at positions 29 to 507 of the family's 1533-position model. The record is from RNAcentral.
AACGAACGCUGGCGGCAUGCCUAACACAUGCAAGUCGAACGAUUGCCUUCGGGUGAUAGUGGCGCACGGGUGCGUAACGCGUGGGAAUCUGCCCUUAGGUUCGGAAUAACAGCUGGAAACGGCUGCUAAUGCCGGAUGAUAUCGCGAGAUCAAAGAUUUAUCGCCUGAGGAUGAGCCCGCGUUGGAUUAGGUGGUUGGUGGGGUAAAGGCCUACCAAGCCGACGAUCCAUAGCUGGUCUGAGAGGAUGAUCAGCCACACUGGGACUGAGACACGGCCCAGACUCCUACGGGAGGCAGCAGAGGGGAAUAUUGGACAAUGGGCGCAAGCCUGAUCCAGCAAUGCCGCGUGAGUGAUGAAGGCCCUAGGGUUGUAAAGCUCUUUUACCCGGGAAGAUAAUGACUGUACCGGGAGAAUAAGCCCCGGCUAACUCCGUG